Molecule: ribosomal RNA, 404 nt
Filed under: Actinomycetes bacterium
Lineage: Bacteria; Bacillati; Actinomycetota; Actinomycetes
Description: Actinobacteria bacterium partial 16S ribosomal RNA
Rfam family: Bacterial small subunit ribosomal RNA
Source: RNAcentral
UGGGGAAUAUUGGACAAUGGGCGCAAGCCUGAUCCAGCCAUGCCGCGUGAGUGAUGAAGGCCCUAGGGUUGUAAAGCUCUUUCACCGGUGAAGAUAAUGACGGUAACAGGAGAAGAAGCCCCGGCUAACUUCGUGCCAGCAGCCGCGGUAAGACGAAGGGGGCUAGCGUUGUUCGGAUUUACUGGGCGUAAAGCGCACGUAGGCGGACUAUUAAGUCAGGGGUGAAAUCCCGGGGCUCAACCCCGGAACUGCCUUUGAUACUGGUAGUCUUGAGUUCGAGAGAGGUGAGUGGAAUUCCGAGUGUAGAGGUGAAAUUCGUAGAUAUUCGGAGGAACACCAGUGGCGAAGGCGGCUCACUGGCUCGAUACUGACGCUGAGGUGCGAAAGCGUGGGGAGCAAACAGG